UGCAGAAAGGACCCUUUUCUGGGUGAGAA
This 29-nucleotide non-coding RNA is filed under the name Homo sapiens (human). The record is from RNAcentral. Lineage: Eukaryota; Metazoa; Chordata; Mammalia; Primates; Hominidae.